GACGAACGCUGGCGGCAUGCCUAACACAUGCAAGUCGAACGGAACGUCCGUGCCUUUGGGCGCUGGUCGGCUUGCCACCGGGGAACCAACCCGUGAGUUCCCAGUAACUCACUUUGGGAUAUCUUAAGGACACUGGAGCUCUUACCAGCUAGGAGUUCUCGCCGCUGGGUGGGCGUGGGUAAGUUUCGUCGGUUGGGGAUGGAAUAGCGGCGUAUGAGCUUGAUGGUGGGGUAGUGGCAUAGCAUGGCCAGGACGGGUAGCAGGCCUGAGAGGCUGACCGGCCACAUUGGGACUGAGAUGCGGCCCAGACUCCUACGGGAGGCAGCGGUGGGGAAGAUUGUACAAUGGGAGGAAGGCUGAUGCGACAACGCCGCGUGCGGGAUGUCGUCCUGCGGGUUGUAAAGCGCUGUCGCCUGUGACGAGGCGUUAGUGACGGUAAUGGGUGAAGAAGCACCGGCUAACUACGUG
RNAcentral lists this ribosomal RNA (468 nucleotides) under uncultured bacterium. RNAcentral describes it as "partial 16S ribosomal RNA". It matches the Rfam family "Bacterial small subunit ribosomal RNA", at positions 28 to 507 of the family's 1533-position model. The record is from RNAcentral.